GCGGUGUCACCAUGUUUGGAAUAAGACUUUUCCAUAUAUGGAAUUCCUGGCCAUAUAUGGAAGGAAGGAAGUAUUCAAGUAUCAGAGACUUAUGACAUCACACCAUAAUGACCCUUGACCUAGUGUGUUGCUAGCACCCAUAAGUAGCAGAGGUAAAACCUACUCUGCCCAUGUGAGCGGUAUGUCUGUAAUGUUGGAUAAUGUGCAAGAAUGUCGACAACCAUUGUCCUCAAAUGGUAAUCAAGUGAUAUUACGAGAUUAUGGCCUCCCAUAUGUUUGAAUGAGAAUGACCAGUCACGCAUCACUAUGUGUAAAUUUGACACUGCCCACUUAAGUAAGAAACGCUAGUUUUAAACAUCUAGGUACCAGAUCUUGAGUUAAUUGGUCAGUGGGAAUACAUUUCGAGGGAAGAAGGCCAGUCUAAUCAACUCACGAAUCCUGUGAUUACCAUCCAGUUAACAUCCAUAA
This is a long non-coding RNA of Limulus polyphemus (Atlantic horseshoe crab), 468 nucleotides long. RefSeq lists it as uncharacterized. Lineage: Eukaryota; Metazoa; Arthropoda; Merostomata; Xiphosura; Limulidae. The record is from RefSeq and is a predicted model, not a curated record. The transcript is spliced from 3 exons.